This 478-nucleotide ribosomal RNA is filed under the name uncultured Geobacter sp. RNAcentral's name for it is "bacterial SSU rRNA". It matches the Rfam family "Bacterial small subunit ribosomal RNA", at positions 72 to 526 of the family's 1533-position model. Lineage: Bacteria; Pseudomonadati; Thermodesulfobacteriota; Desulfuromonadia; Geobacterales; Geobacteraceae. The record is from RNAcentral.
AGUCCUGGCAACGGGAUGAGUAAAGUGGCGGACGGGUGAGUAACGCGUGGGUAACCUGCCCUGGGGAGGGGGAUAACACCUCGAAAGGAGUGCUAAUACCCCAUAAUGUCCCGCAGGCCAAGGCCUGCGGGACCAAAGGUAGCCUCUGACUCAAGCUAUCGCUUCAGGAUGGGCCCGCGUCCCAUUAGCUAGUUGGCAGGGUAAUGGCCUACCAAGGCUAUGAUGGGUAGCUGGUCUGARAGGACGGUCAGCCACACUGGAACUGAGACACGGUCCAGACUCCUACGGGAGGCAGCAGUGAGGAAUUUUGCGCAAUGGGCGAAAGCCUGACGCAGCAACGCCGCGUGGACGAUGAAGGUCUUCGGAUCGUAAAGUCCUGUCGAGUGGGAAGAAAAAUGCGAGGGUCAACACCUCUCGCAUUCGACUGUACCACCAGAGGAAGCCCCGGCUAACUACGUGCCAGCAGCCGCGGUAAUAC